UACGUAGGUGGCAAGCGUUGUCCGGAUUUAUUGGGUUUAAAGGGUGCGUAGGCGGCCCUGUAAGUCAGUUGUGAAAUACGGCAGCUUAACUGUCGAGGUGCAAUUGAUACUGCAGGGCUUGAGUACUGAUGAGGUAGGCGGAAUGGACGGUGUAGCGGUGAAAUGCUUAGAGAUCGUCCAGAACACCGAUAGCGAAGGCAGCUUACUAAGGAGUAACUGACGCUGAGGCACGAAAGUGUGGGGAUCAAACAGG
Molecule: ribosomal RNA, 253 nt
Filed under: uncultured bacterium
Lineage: Bacteria
Also listed under: 1 other name
Description: partial 16S ribosomal RNA
Rfam family: Bacterial small subunit ribosomal RNA
Source: RNAcentral